UCGGGUUAACCUAUCUUCUUCUCCGCCGAUCUCCUUCUUCCUCUUCAAUGGCGAUUUCGAGUUCUUCUUCUUCUUCACACGGUUAAGUGUUCGUCGUCUCUAUUCUCUCUAUCUUCUUCUCUGUUUCUUAUUCUAUCUUUCUUCUUCUCUUUAUUGGUUAUCAAUAAGAUGUUUAGCCAGGUAAUGAAUCAUAGAAGAUGUUGAGGUAUUUAAUUUAAUCUUGGUUCUUGUGUUGCUUUGGAAAAAACUGUUUUUCCAGGUAAUUAAUCAUAGAAGAUGUUAGGCAUUAUAUUCAAUGUUCUUUGUAUAUAAUCUAAGCAGUCUUACUGUUUCAAAGUUGCGGCCUUUUGAUCUCGAAGUGCUUAUUUUUGUUGUUACUCAGGCCAAGGUAUUUGAAAAAUUAGAUAGAAAUAGGAGCGACUUCAUUCAUUAGGGUCUUAUGUUCUGAUCUUUGAAGCUACGCAGUCUUAUUGAUACGAAUUUGUGUCUUUUGAUAUCUAAACUGUCUACAGUAGUUAUGUUUAGUGGUAUAUGAACAACUCGAAUCAUGAAUCCCACAGUUUCCCCUUUGGUGGAUGCGUUUCAGAUUGUUUCAGCGUUCUUGUUUUUGUCACAUUUUCAUGUGAUUUUGACAGUUAAAUUUUUCCAGUGAAUUUGACUUCUUCUUCUUGUUUUACAGGAGAAGCUUUACUAAUGGAUUGUGAGACAAGAAGAAGAAGGAACAAGAGCCUCCACUAAUGCGACUGUGAGUCUCAAUUACCGUGUAUCAUCUUUAUCUAGAUGAUGUCUCGGCCAUUAUUGGUCCUCACAAUUGCUGAGGCUCUCAUAGACUAGUCAGAGUUAAAGUAAGAAGCCCCAGGUGAAACUGUCUCUCAUGCAUCUUCAGAAUCACAGUAUGAACUACAAAUGUCUCAGUCUCUGUCAAGGGAAA
RNAcentral lists this long non-coding RNA (931 nucleotides) under Brassica napus (rape). RNAcentral's name for it is "long non-coding RNA (BNAP_LNC015501)". Lineage: Eukaryota; Viridiplantae; Streptophyta; Magnoliopsida; Brassicales; Brassicaceae. The record is from RNAcentral.